Non-coding RNA from Drosophila virilis, 967 nucleotides. Lineage: Eukaryota; Metazoa; Arthropoda; Insecta; Diptera; Drosophilidae. The record is from RefSeq and is a predicted model, not a curated record.
CUUUAUCUUUAUUUGUCAUCACGACUUGACUUAAACAAUAUAAAACUAUGUAAGAAAUUAUGAAGCUGUAUUAAAAGUUCAUGUGCCAUUUGGCCCCGCUUUACACUUUUGACAACCAUCCACGGCAACGAGCCCCCAGCACGCAGACUGCACUCCCUAGGCUGGCAUCACAAAUGCGCUUGUUAUUAUUUUGUUGACAUAUGAGUAAAAAUGCGCCGCAGCUUUGCUUGUCAUGUCUGGGUAAGCGUGUAAUAUGAACAUGGAAGUGGCGUGCUGCAGUGGAGCCACAGCGGGAUGUAAAUACGCCAGCCACGAGCUGCACUUGAAGAAGUUGUCGACGAGAAACCAAUCAACACACAACAAUGGCAGCUGGCAAGUCAGCGGAAUCGCGAGUAGCCCCUCCACACUGCUCAAUACGGGACACGUUUACAAGCUUUAAUACUCACAAUUCCCGCUCGAAAAGUGCGCAAGAAGUAACAAUGAGGCGGCUAAAAAGCUGGGUUGUGCCGCGCUAGACCGGAACUGGGUUGGGCCAAUUUGGGAGAACGCCAUUUUCGUGUUCUUGCCAAGAACCGAGCCGAAGUGCAGCAUGCGCGUGGCCCAACCGUGUUGCCAUUAAAAAUUUAUUUAAAAUGUCGAGAGCAGGCAUAUGCAAUUCUGUAAAGUAUAUAUACAUUUUUGUGAAGUUUACUUCUCUGAUUGUAUAUGUGCGUCCAGAGAGUUUUGCAAGAAACGGAUGAUAAGCUCAGUAGCCCCUUUUUGAGGAAACUACAUGCAUUAUUUGUUGGGCUGCAAUAUGCAUUUCAACCGAACCGGCUUGCACCCAGAAUGGAACGGAUUAAUUGAAGGAAGAACAUCCGAAUCUUAUCUUCAACAUAUUUUUAUAGUUCACACAAUUUCAGAAAGUCAUGCAUAUAUAAAAUCAUUCUAAAUGAACGAAGCGAUUUGUUGCACAGUGUUAUCCGUA